AAGUGGAGCAAUCCAUGAGUAAAGUGGCGACCGGGUGAGUAACACGUGACUACCUGCCCUCGAGUGGGGAAUAACUCCGGGAAACCGGGGCUAAUACCGCAUAACAUCGCAAGAUCAAAGCAGUGAUGCGCUUGAGGAGGGGGUCGCGGCUGAUUAGCUAGUUGGUAGGGUAAUGGCCUACCAAGGCGAAGAUCGGUAUCCGGCCUGAGAGGGCGCACGGACACACUGGAACUGAAACACGGUCCAGACUCCUACGGGAGGCAGCAGUGGGGAAUUUUGCGCAAUGGGGGAAACCCUGACGCAGCAACGCCGCGUGGAGGAUGAAGGCCCUUGGG
This 335-nucleotide ribosomal RNA is filed under the name uncultured bacterium. RNAcentral's name for it is "bacterial SSU rRNA". It matches the Rfam family "Bacterial small subunit ribosomal RNA", at positions 72 to 422 of the family's 1533-position model. The record is from RNAcentral.